AAAACUCAGGUGCUUAGAGAUUGGCGUGCGUCCUAUUAGAUAGUUGGUGAGGUAACGGCUCACCAAGUCGAUGAUAGGUAGGGGGCGUGAGAGCGUGGUCCCCCACACGGACACUGAGAUACGGGUCCGACUCCUACGGGAGGCAGCAGUAAGGAAUAUUGGUCAAUGGACGGAAGUCUGAACCAGCCAUGCCGCGUGAAGGAUGAAGGUGCUACGCAUUGUAAACUUCUUUGGACGGAGAAGAAACCCCUGCCUGCGGGCGGGGCUGACGGUAUCCGUAGAACAAGCACCGGCUAACUCCGUGCCAGCAGCCGCGGUAAUACGGAGGGUGCAAGCGUUAUCCGGAAUCACUGGGUUUAAAGGGAGCGCAGGCGGUUGGAUAAGUCAGAGGUGAAAGCUCUAUGCUUAACAUAGAAAUUGCCUCUGAUACUGUUUAACUAGAAUUAAGUUGAGGUAGGCGGAAUGCAACAUGUAGCGGUGAAAUGCAUAGAUAUGUUGUAGAACACCC
This 508-nucleotide ribosomal RNA is filed under the name uncultured bacterium. Its description in RNAcentral is "bacterial SSU rRNA". It matches the Rfam family "Bacterial small subunit ribosomal RNA", at positions 202 to 711 of the family's 1533-position model. The record is from RNAcentral.